This is a long non-coding RNA of Etheostoma cragini (Arkansas darter), 158 nucleotides long. RefSeq lists it as uncharacterized. The record is from RefSeq and is a predicted model, not a curated record. NCBI's taxonomy places the organism in Eukaryota, Metazoa, Chordata, Actinopteri, Perciformes, Percidae. The transcript is spliced from 4 exons.
CAGUGUUUGUUUUUGUGUUGUCAGUGCAGAGCCAUUUUUAGAUACUUUGUAUACUACUAGGUAAAUUAGUAGUAUAGUACUGCAUCAUGUCAUUGAAGCAUAACAAAAGAACUAUGUGUCAAAUGUGUCAAAUAAAUGGAGUGGAGUAAAAAGUACAA